This 84-nucleotide non-coding RNA is filed under the name Candidatus Accumulibacter. RNAcentral describes it as "c-di-GMP sequence". It matches the Rfam family "c-di-GMP-I-GGC riboswitch aptamer". The record is from RNAcentral. Lineage: Bacteria; Pseudomonadati; Pseudomonadota; Betaproteobacteria.
ACUUGAAAAAGGCAAACCAAGCGAGAGCUUGGGACGCAAAGUGACCGGUCUGACGGCUUCGGCCAAGACAGCGGGACUGCCAAG